This 84-nucleotide microRNA precursor is filed under the name Bombyx mori (domestic silkworm). RNAcentral describes it as "mir-2807 microRNA precursor family". It matches the Rfam family "mir-2807 microRNA precursor family". The record is from Rfam by way of RNAcentral. Lineage: Eukaryota; Metazoa; Arthropoda; Insecta; Lepidoptera; Bombycidae.
UUAACUCUAAUUUGUAUGGAGUUAGAACGUUUGCCUGCGUUUGCCGCUAGGGGCGCUGUUCCAACUCCAUACAAAUUUAAGUUA